Molecule: ribosomal RNA, 1051 nt
Filed under: uncultured bacterium
Lineage: Bacteria
Description: bacterial SSU rRNA
Rfam family: Bacterial small subunit ribosomal RNA
Source: RNAcentral
AAAAAUAUUUUUCGGAUGCGGCGCGAUUCGCCCUUCAGGCCUAACACAUGCAAGUCGAGGGGCAUCACGGGUAGUUAAUAUCUGGUGGCGACCGGCGGAUGGGUGCGUAACGCGUAUGCAACCUUCCUUAUGCAGGGGGAUAGCCCAUGGAAACGUGGAUUAAUACCCUAUAAUAUCAUCUGAUCGCAUGUUUAGGUGAUUAAACGAAUUUUGGCAUAAGAUGGGCAUGCGUCUGAUUAGCUAGUUGGCAGGGUAACGGCCUGCCAAGGCUACGAUCAGUAGGGGUUCUGAGAGGAUUAUCCCCCACACUGGAACUGAGACACGGUCCAGACUCCUACGGGAGGCAGCAGUGAGGAAUAUUGGUCAAUGGGCUCAAGCCUGAACCAGCCAUCCCGCGUGCAGGAUGACGGCCUUAUGGGUUGUAAACUGCUUUUCUACGCAAAGAACGGGUCUUACGUGUAAGGCAUUGACGGUAGUGUAGGAAUAAGCAUCGGCUAACUCCGUGCCAGCAGCCGCGGUAAUACGGAGGAUGCAAGCGUUAUCCGGAUUCAUUGGGUUUAAAGGGUGCGCAGGCGGAGAUAUAAGUCAGUGGUGAAAAGCUGCCGCUCAACGGUAGUCUUGCCAUUGAUACUGUUUCUCUUGAGUAUGGAUGAGGUAGGCGGAAUGUGCAGUGUAGCGGUGAAAUGCAUAGAUAUUGCACGGAACACCAAUUGCGAAGGCAGCUUACUGGGCCAUUACUGACGCUCAGGCACGAAAGCGUGGGGAUCAAACAGGAUUAGAUACCCUGGUAGUCCACGCAGUAAACGAUGUUCACUCGCUGUUUGCGAUAUACUGUAAGCGGCUUAGUUAAAGCAUUAAGUGAACCACCUGGGGAGUACGAUCGCAAGGUUGAAACUCAAAGGAAUUGACGGGGGCCCGCACAAGCGGUGGAGCAUGUGGUUUAAUUCGAUGCAACGCGAAGAACCUACCAGCUCUUGACAUGUCAGGAAGUUUGCAGAGAUGCAGAUGUGCCUUUCGGAACCUGAACACAGGUGCUGCAUGGCUGUCGUCA